This 446-nucleotide ribosomal RNA is filed under the name uncultured Allobrachymonas sp. Its description in RNAcentral is "bacterial SSU rRNA". It matches the Rfam family "Bacterial small subunit ribosomal RNA", at positions 930 to 1382 of the family's 1533-position model. Lineage: Bacteria; Pseudomonadati; Pseudomonadota; Betaproteobacteria; Burkholderiales; Comamonadaceae. The record is from RNAcentral.
CGGUGGAUGAUGUGGUUAAUUCGAUGCAACGCGAAAACCUUACCCACCUUUGACAUGGCAGGAAUCCCGAAGAGAUUUGGGAGUGCUCGAAAGAGAACCUGCACACAGGUGCUGCAUGGCUGUCGUCAGCUCGUGUCGUGAGAUGUUGGGUUAAGUCCCGCAACGAGCGCAACCCUUGCCAUUAGUUGCUACGAAAGGGCACUCUAAUGGGACUGCCGGUGACAAACCGGAGGAAGGUGGGGAUGACGUCAAGUCCUCAUGGCCCUUAUAGGUGGGGCUACACACGUCAUACAAUGGCCGGUACAGAGGGUAGCCAACCCGCGAGGGGGAGCCAAUCCCACAAAGCCGGUCGUAGUCCGGAUCGCAGUCUGCAACUCGACUGCGUGAAGUCGGAAUCGCUAGUAAUCGCGGAUCAGCAUGUCGCGGUGAAUACGUUCCCGGGUCUU